Molecule: ribosomal RNA, 492 nt
Filed under: uncultured bacterium
Lineage: Bacteria
Description: partial 16S ribosomal RNA
Rfam family: Bacterial small subunit ribosomal RNA
Source: RNAcentral
AGUGAACGCUGGCGGUAGGCCUAACACAUGCAAGUCGAACGGCAGCACAGUAAGAGCUUGCUCUUACGGGUGGCGAGUGGCGGACGGGUGAGGAAUACAUCGGAAUCUACUUUUUCGUGGGGGAUCACGUAGGGAAACUUACGCUAAUACCGCAUACGACCUACGGGUGAAAGCAGGGGAUCUUCGGACCUUGCGCGAUUGAAUGAGCCGAUGUCGGAUUAGCUAGUUGGCGGGGUCAAGGCCCACCAAGGCGACGAUCCGUAGCUGGUCUGAGAGGAUGAUCAGCCACACUGGAACUGAGACACGGUCCAGACUCCUACGGGAGGCAGCAGUGGGGAAUAUGGGACAAUGGGCGCAAGCCUGAUCCAGCCAUACCGCGUGGGUGAAGAAGGCCUUCGGGUUGUAAAGCCCUUUUGUUGGGAAAGAAAAGCAGCAGGUUAAGACCCCGCUGUUCUGACGGUACCCAAAGAAUAAGCACCGGCUAACUUCGUG